UUCCGGUUGAUCCUGCCGGACCCCACUGCUAUCGAGGUGGGACUAAGCCAUGCUAGUUGAGCGCACAGAACUAUGUCUGUGAGCGGCACACUGCUCAGUAACACGUAGCUAACCUACCCUUAGGACGUGGACAACCCCGAGAAAUUGGGGCUAAUCCGCGAUAGAUGUAUUGUCCUGGAAUGGUAUUACGUCUAAAGGUAUCCCAUACAUGUUUGGUAUACGCCUAAGGAUGGGGCUGCGGCCGAUCAGGCUGUUGGUGAGGUAAUGGCUCACCAAACCUUUGACCGGUACGGGCCAUGAGAGUGGUAGCCCGGAGAUGGACACUGAGACAAGGGUCCAGGCCCUACGGGGCGCAGCAGGCGCGAAACCUCCUCAAUGCACUUACGUGCGAAGGGGCUACCUCGAGUGCCACCUGAUGAAGGUGGCUUUUCCUAGGUCUAAAAAGCCUUGGGAAUAAGAGGGGGGCAAGACUGGUGUCAGCCGCCGCGGUAACACCAGCCCCUCGAGUGGUGGGGAUGAUUAUUGGGCCUAAAGCGUCCGUAGCCUGCCGUGUAAGUUUCCCGUUAAAUCCAGCGUCUUAAGCGUUGGACCGCGGGAAAUACUGUACGGCUAGAGAGUGGGAGAGGUCAGCGGUAUUCUGGGGGUAGGGGCGAAAUCCUUUGAUCCCCGGAGGACCACCAGUGGCGAAGGCUGCUGUCUAUAACACGUCUGACGGUCAGGGACGAAAGCUGGGGUAGCGAACCGGAUUAGAUACCCGGGUAGUCCCAGCCGUAAACGAUGCAUGCUAGGUGUUGGGUUGGCCACGAGCCACCCCAGUGCCGCAGGGAAGCCGUUAAGCAUGCCGCCUGGGAAGUACGAUCGCAAGGUUGAAACUUAAAGGAAUUGGCGGGGGAGCACCACCAGGCGUGAAGCCUGCGGUUUAAUUGGAGUCAACGCCGGA
This 940-nucleotide ribosomal RNA is filed under the name uncultured archaeon. Its description in RNAcentral is "bacterial SSU rRNA". It matches the Rfam family "Archaeal small subunit ribosomal RNA", at positions 1 to 922 of the family's 1478-position model. The record is from RNAcentral.